This is an RNA transcript of Balaenoptera ricei (Rice's whale), 3227 nucleotides long. RefSeq lists it as uncharacterized. The record is from RefSeq and is a predicted model, not a curated record. The transcript has 2 exons. NCBI's taxonomy places the organism in Eukaryota, Metazoa, Chordata, Mammalia, Artiodactyla, Balaenopteridae.
CGCUAAGCCCGCUGCAGCCCCUCACAAGCCUGAACGGCUCAGGAAGCGCUUUCCCCACAGGAUGCUGGGGAACAGAAGGUGUUUCUCCUCGAUUCCUGCAGGGAAUACGUGUGCGCGGUACACAUACCGUCCAAACGGGGGCGGCUCACAACCCGUCCGGAUGUCCCAACCAGAGUUAAAGUGGGCUUGCCGAGGCAGCUCUGGGGAGUUGCUCCGGGCGGCGAUGGAUUCAGCCAGGUUAUAACGCUCUGGCACGGCUUUUUCCCAUUGAGAACACUCAGGGAGGAAGACAAGAUCCGAUGGAGCAUUGCGGCUGGAGAGGCGUGGAGGCGGGAGGAGCGGAGACACCCAGUACAGGGAGCCCUCCACAUCCCAAAGGAAGAAGUUGCAUUCCUUUUUUCCUUUGUUUCUCUUUUGGGAAAUCCUGUUAGUGCUCUUUUCCUCACGGUUUCCACUUCUUUGUCUUCCUGGGAGAGUUACUCAGUGUUAACUUUCAGCUCUCUAAUUUGGUCAUCAACGGUGUCAUUCCUUCUAUCGGAAUAUUUUAUUUUAUUUUAUUUUAUUUUUGGCUGCAUUGGGUCUUCAUUGCUGCGCUGGACUUUCUCUAGUUGCCACUAGAGGGGGCUACUCUUCCUUGCGGUGCGCGGGCUUCUCGUUGCAGUGGCUUCUCUUGUUGUGGAGCGCGGGCUCUAGGCGCUCAGGCUUCAGUAGUUGCAACACGCAGGCUCAGUAGUUAUGGCACGCGGGCCCUAGAGCAUGCAGGCCUCAGUAGUUGCGGUGUGCAGACCCUAGAGUACGCAGGCUUAAGUAGUUGUGGCGCGCAGGCUCAGUAGUUAUGGCACACGGGCUUAGUUGCUCCGCAGCAUGUGGGAUCUUCCUGGACCAGGGAUUGAACCCGUGUCCCCUGCAUUGGGAGGCGUAUUCUUAACCACUGAGCCACCAGGGAACCAGAAUAUUUUCUUAAUUCAGGCAACAGAAUUUUUAAAUUUCAAGAAUUCCCAUGACUUCUUUUCAAAUUAGCCUCUAGUAUUCUCCAGGUUAGUUAGUUAGCUAUGUCCCUAGUCUGUUGUUAGUGGCAACAAAGACACUGCUCCCAGAAGGCUUCUGGAGUGAGCAUUGACCUUGGCAGCAACCUAGAGGAGACUCCCUGAUUUGACAUUGCAACCCGUGCAGGGAUACGGCACUGAAGCUGUCACUGCAGAGAAUGGACAGCUAAUGGUGUUGAAGUGAGCGAAACUUUUGGUAUACCGCUCCCCAGCCUCUCUGAGAUCCGGAUGUGAGGAAGUACUGCAAGCGCUCAUCGCGCCCUAUGGCCUCCAGUGCAACCUGGAGCUUCUCGAUGCCUCAUGCAGUGGGCCAGAGCCCCUCCCUGGACCCCCACAAAUCCAUCUGCCAUGGCCAACAGCCUCCACCAGAUCACAGCAGCCCCAGCGCCUCCCCUCUCAGCACCACUUACGCCCCUCGUGGCCAGGCAGCUCCUCCCCGCCCUGCCCCCGACUACAUCCCCCCAUACACCCUCCCCCACCCACCACCUGCUGGCGAUCCGCUCUGGGCCCUGCAAGCCGGGCGCCCCCCCCAUGCUUAGAGAUCAGACUGCCUCUCUCACCUCCCCACACCGGGGAGUCCUCCCCCGAGCACCCUCAGAGCCAGGGGCUCUCGCCUCUUGCACCCCAGACGCAGAGUCCACCCGUCUUGCCCCCGCCCACCCGGGAGCCGGAGCCCCCUUCCUGCCACGAGCGUCCGCCACCCCCACCCCCCGCCCCGGCGGGAGCUCCCCCAACGCCUACCGCACCCGCGCCCGGGAGUCCUCCCCAUCGACCCGCGCCUGCGCCAGGAGUAGCUCCGCCUUCCUCCCGCCACACGCAGCAGCCGUUAGCCCUCGCCUCGUGUCUCGGCCCGGGGAGGGGGCCCGAGAGUCCUCCCCAUCGACCCGCGCCUGCGCCAGGAGUAGCUCCGCCUUCCUCCCGCCACACGCAGCAGCCGUUAGCCCUCGCCUCGUGUCUCGGCCCGGGGAGGGGGAGUGGCCCGCCCGUCGCGUCCUCCCCACCCCCACAGCCAGUCGUCCUCUCCUCUGGCCCCCAAAGCCGGCCCCACCCGCCCAGGAGGAAGCCCUCCGCUCAGGGCCCCCCCACGCUUAGCCAUUACCCCACCCUCUGCACCCCGACUCCAGAACACCCCCCACCAGCCACCCUGGCAGCCAGCGGUCCUCCCCUCAGACCCGCACACUGGGGGACCCUUCCCUCAGCCCCCCUUCAGCCCGCUGCCCUCCGCCGCCCCUCCCCCACUCCCCAUCGAGCAGCCCGUACCCCUCCCCCCACCCCCACUCCUUCCCAGCGCCCCCGGUACCUGCGGAGUCCAGCAGCCGGCAAAGCCCCCGCCUGUCUCCUGACUUUCUCUGACUCUGUGGAUGACGCCGGAGUCCCGCUCAGAAGGGGCUGAAGAGCUCGUCUCAGCACUGCAGCCAGGAACUGUGCAGCCCACUGUCCCAGGCACUCUGUGCGAACGCCACGUGGGUUUCCGGGUGCUCCCGGAAGCCCGAGGAAGAUGAGGGAGAAAGUUCUAGACGUCUCCUUACACAGAAAGUGGUUGGAUCAGAAGAGCACGUGAGGAGGCGCUUUGCUACGGAAGCUGCAGUAGCCACGCGCACUGAGGGCGUGAGGUCCCAAGGCUUGGCGCCUCCGGAAGCAAAAGACACGCCCAUUGGCCUUCCACCAAUAGGAAGGCCUCCCUGCAAGGCUGCGGAGUGGGAGGAGCAAACUUGCAGAUGCAGAGCCCAUGGUGGCACAUAGGUCAAUCUGUCUUUACAGGUGGGUUUGUACCGUGAUUGAUAAUGUCAGAAACCUAUUGUUUUUCCUUUUUCUUUUUUUUUAAUUUUUGAAUUUUAUUUUAUUUAUUUUUUUAUACAGCAGGUUCUUAUUAGUUAUCCAUUUUAUACAUAUUAGUGUACAUAUGUCAAUCCCAACCUCUCAGUUCAUCACAGCACCGCCCCCACCACUUUCCCACCUGGGUGUCCAUACGUUUGUGCUGUACAUCUGUGUCUCUAUUUCUGUCCUGCAAACCGGUUCAUCUGUACCAUUUUUCUAGGUUCCACAUAUGUGCAUUAAUAUACGAUAUUUGUUUCUCUCUUUCUGACUUCCUUCACUCUGUAUGACAGUCUCUAGAUCCAUCCACGUCUGUACAAAUGACCCAAUUUCAUUCCUUUGUACCGCUCAGUAAUAAAUAGUAAU